Molecule: ribosomal RNA, 408 nt
Filed under: uncultured bacterium
Lineage: Bacteria
Description: partial 16S ribosomal RNA
Rfam family: Bacterial small subunit ribosomal RNA
Source: RNAcentral
GACGAACGCUGGCGGCGUGCUUAACACAUGCAAGUCGAACGAAGUGGCGAACGGGUGAGUAACGCGUAAUCAACCUGCCCUUCAGAGGGGGUCAACAGUUGGAAACGACUGCUAUUACCGCUUACUGAUGGAGGGGAAUGCGUCUGAUUAGCUAGUUGGAGGGGUAACGGCCACCCAAGGCGAGGGUCAGUAGGCGGUCCGAAGGGAUGAACCGGCAACUUUGGACCGAGACACGGCCCCGAAUCCUACGGGAGGCAGCAGUGGGGAAUCUUCCGCAAUGGAGGAAAGUCUGACGGAGCCAAGCCGGGUGAGUUAUGAAGGCCUUCGGGUUGUAAAGCUAUGUUAAGCGGGGCGCGGUACCGGAAGAGAAAGCCACGGCUAACUACGUGCCAGCAGCCGCGGUAAUAC